AGAGAUUAAGCGCGCAACAUGUGUUCGUUAAUCGGUUAAAAGAAAAUCUGUUGAUAAAAAGGAAAAGAAGGAAAAGAAAAGGUUGAUGUCGAACGUGGACCGAUUGAGCGAAUACUACUUACUAAGGACCAAUGUCCCAUACGUAUGAAUGGGCAAACCUGAACGCGGAGACUCAUGCGCGCGCUUCGAAAAUCAAAAUCAAUGUGGGUCCUCCCCUCAGAACUCCAUACCGACCUUGCUCCGAUUGCCCACGCCCUUAGUGUGCCUCGUACUUCCGUCGCGGACGCAUCCCUCGUGCAAUCAUCGUCGUCUUUGCGUCCUCCUCUCUCCCUCACUCUACUCCUCUCUCUCUCUCUCUUUCUAGCUCUCUCUCUUUCUCUCUCCGCUUCACUUAUUCUCUCUCUCUCUCUCUCUCUCUCUCUCUCUCUCUCUCUCUCUCUUUCUCCAUUACCCCCACUUGGUUGCUCAUUCUAUCUCUCUUUUUCCUCCCCACUCUCUAUCUCUCUCUCUUGCUCUGGCUUUCUCUUUCUCUCGCGUGCUCUCUCUCGCUCUGUUUCUCUAUCUCUCUCUUUCUCACUUAUUCACUUCACUUACUCUUUCUCACGCAUCUACACGUACGCGGGUACAUUAUAUAACAUACACGCGGUCUGUCCUCUCUUGAUCUGUGUGCCUGCUUGUUGUGUUGUCUAUCUCCCUCGGGUUUAGGUUCGGGCUCGAGUGAAUCAAAAUAACGAAGAGAAUGUGCCGUUGAUGAUCGGUGGAAAAAAAGGGUGGUGGUACUUGUUAAAUAUCAUCGGAUCCUUUGGUGCUCUCGAUAAUCAGUCCGAAAUAUAGUUUUGUGUAUUGAUGUACGCGAGAUUUCUCGUACAGAUCGUCCCGCCUUUCUACACCGAUGCUGAAUAUUAGUGAUUUAAAUUAUGUGUGAAUUCGACGUAAGGAAACGCAAUCGUUUUGUGGAUUUUCGGUCUCGCCUUCGAGUUUAUUGUGUCAGUGAAAUUUUUUUUCGGUGUUUUCCAUUUGGUUGAUACGAAAAAAAGAACAAAAUCAAAGGUGUAUUCUAUAAUUAAGGAGUUAAUGAAUUUUGUCCAAGUGACUAACUGUUAUAUGUGAACACGCUAAAGAAGUAAUUGGUCCGCAAAACACCGGCUGAAAUGUAUCAUCGACUGUGAUAUACCUGAUGUGAUAUCCUUCGAGGAAGAAUGCAACUCCGUACAAGAUUCGAUCGAUGAAAAAUAGAAUUCUCUGCCCGUCAUCAUGUUCACGAGAGCCAAGAUGCCGGUGACUGGUGAUGGGACUUUUAUUAACCGCGGUGUAACGAGAAAUGUGACAUGUUGUCGUUAAGCAACAAUGAGCAUUGGGGAGCACGCAUCAGCGAAAAAAUCAUCGUAAAUACUCAAAAUGAUUUCUCUCUGUUUGGCUACACAUUGCGGCGUGCUUGAGUAUGCUUGCUUGAUCAUCCCAGGGCAUAUUAGCAUCGAUGAUGGCAACGGCAGCCUGGAUACUGGUAUGGAUCAUAUGGCCGACCACGCGCCAUCAACAAGAUCAGUGAAAAGGGUAUACAGUUGACGCAUCCCUCUGUUCCUUAAAGAUUGGAAAUAAGCGUCCAGAGAAGCCGGAAAAGCGGAACCGUUUUUUCAACGUCGUUUUACAUGCGUACGUGCGUACGUACGCGCGUGUUACAUUCGCUAGGUUACAUGCGAAAAGUGCGAGGAAGGGCCUGCAGAGAGAACGGAUUUCGUAGAAAAAUGUUCUGGCCGGACACGUGACAUGUAAACCGUAUACAAGCAGAGAAAUAUUUCCAUAUACAUACGGAAAAGAAACGAUAACAGGUGGAGGGAAAAACAGAGUGAGAGGGGAGAGAGAGAAAGAGAGAGAGCGAGCGAGAGAGAGAGAGAGAGAGAGUGGGGAGGGAGAGAGGAAGGAAGAAAGACAGAGGGAGGGGGAGAGAGAGAGAAAGC
Long non-coding RNA from Apis laboriosa (Himalayan honeybee), 1958 nucleotides. RefSeq lists it as uncharacterized. The transcript has 5 exons. The record is from RefSeq and is a predicted model, not a curated record. Lineage: Eukaryota; Metazoa; Arthropoda; Insecta; Hymenoptera; Apidae.